GCCACCUUAGCUCAGUCGGCAGAGCGCGUCUUUCGUAAAGACGGGGUCCCCAGUUCGAUUCUGGGAGGUGGCU
This 73-nucleotide transfer RNA is filed under the name Candidatus Zambryskiibacteriota bacterium. Its description in RNAcentral is "Candidatus Zambryskibacteria bacterium tRNA-Thr". The record is from RNAcentral. Lineage: Bacteria; Candidatus Zambryskiibacteriota.